GUGGGGAAUAUUGGACAAUGGGGGGAACCCUGAUCCAGCCAUGCCGCGUGUGUGAAGAAGGUCUUCGGAUUGUAAAGCACUUUAAGUUGGGAGGAAGGGCAGUAAGUUAAUACCUUGCUGUUUUGACGUUACCGACAGAAUAAGCACCGGCUAACUUCGUGCCAGCAGCCGCGGUAAUACGAAGGGUGCAAGCGUUAAUCGGAAUUACUGGGCGUAAAGCGCGCGUAGGUGGUUUUGUAAGUUGGAAGUGAAAUCCCCGGGCUCAACCUGGGAACUGCGUUCAAAACUGCUGAGCUAGAGUACGGUAGAGGGUGGUGGAAUUUCCUGUGUAGCGGUGAAAUGCGUAGAUAUAGGAAGGAACACCAGUGGCGAAGGCGACCACCUGGACUGAUACUGACACUGAGGUGCGAAAGCGUGGGGAGCAAACAGGAUUAGAAACCCCUGUAGUCC
This 450-nucleotide ribosomal RNA is filed under the name uncultured bacterium. RNAcentral's name for it is "partial 16S ribosomal RNA". It matches the Rfam family "Bacterial small subunit ribosomal RNA", at positions 354 to 796 of the family's 1533-position model. The record is from RNAcentral.